RNAcentral lists this ribosomal RNA (253 nucleotides) under uncultured bacterium. RNAcentral describes it as "partial 16S ribosomal RNA". It matches the Rfam family "Bacterial small subunit ribosomal RNA", at positions 524 to 776 of the family's 1533-position model. The record is from RNAcentral.
UACGAAGGGGGCUAGCGUUGCUCGGAAUUACUGGGCGUAAAGCGCACGUAGGCGGCUUUCUAAGUCGGGGGUGAAAUCCUGGAGCUCAACUCCAGAACUGCCUUCGAUACUGGAGAGCUUGAGUCCGGGAGAGGUGAGUGGAACUGCGAGUGUAGAGGUGAAAUUCGUAGAUAUUCGCAAGAACACCAGUGGCGAAGGCGGCUGUCUGGUCCGGUUCUGACGCUGAGGCGCGAAAGCGUGGGGAGCAAACAGG